Molecule: ribosomal RNA, 429 nt
Filed under: Actinomycetes bacterium
Lineage: Bacteria; Bacillati; Actinomycetota; Actinomycetes
Description: Actinobacteria bacterium partial 16S ribosomal RNA
Rfam family: Bacterial small subunit ribosomal RNA
Source: RNAcentral
UAGGGAAUCUUCCGCAAUGGGCGAAAGCCUGACGGAGCAACGCCGCGUGAGUGAUGAAGGUCUUCGGAUCGUAAAACUCUGUUAUUAGGGAAGAACAAAUGUGUAAGUAACUAUGCACGUCUUGACGGUACCUAAUCAGAAAGCCACGGCUAACUACGUGCCAGCAGCCGCGGUAAUACGUAGGUGGCAAGCGUUAUCCGGAAUUAUUGGGCGUAAAGCGCGCGUAGGCGGUUUUUUAAGUCUGAUGUGAAAGCCCACGGCUCAACCGUGGAGGGUCAUUGGAAACUGGAAAACUUGAGUGCAGAAGAGGAAAGUGGAAUUCCAUGUGUAGCGGUGAAGUGCGCAGAGAUAUGGAGGAACACCAGUGGCGAAGGCGACUUUCUGGUAUGUAACUGACGCUGAUGUGCGAAAGCGUGGGGAUCAAACAGG